RNAcentral lists this ribosomal RNA (494 nucleotides) under uncultured Chloroflexota bacterium. RNAcentral describes it as "bacterial SSU rRNA". It matches the Rfam family "Bacterial small subunit ribosomal RNA", at positions 245 to 755 of the family's 1533-position model. Lineage: Bacteria; Bacillati; Chloroflexota. The record is from RNAcentral.
CUAGUUGGUAGGGUAAUGGCCUACCAAGGCAAAGACGGGUAGGGGGCGUGAGAGCGUGGCCCCCCACACUGGUACUGAAACACGGACCAGAUACCUACGGGUAGCAGCAGCAAGGAAUAUUGCGCAAUGGGCGAAAGCCUGACGCAGCAACGCCGCGUGGAGGAUGAGGGCCUUCGGGUUGUAAACUCCUUUUCUGGGGGAAGAGAAAGGACGGUACCCCAGGAAUAAGGCCCGGCUAACUACGUGCCAGCAGCCGCGGUAAAACGUAGGGGUCAAGCGUUAUCCGGAUUUACUGGGCGUAAAGCGCAUGUAGGCGGUUGCUUAAGUCGGACGUGAAAGCUCCUGGCUCAACUAGGAGAGGCCGUUCGAAACUAGGUAACUCGAGGAUGGUAGAGGAGAGUGGAAUUCCCGGUGUAGUGGUGAAAUGCGUAGAUAUCGGGAGGAACACCAGUGGCGAAGGCGGCUCUCUGGGCCAUUCCUGACGCUGAGAUGCG